RNAcentral lists this non-coding RNA (163 nucleotides) under Palpitomonas bilix. The record is from RNAcentral.
UGAUUCCUUUUUUUUUUCUUUUUUCUCUUGAUUUCUAAUUUCGUUCUUGUUCCGGCUCUAUCCAUUUCGAAACAGGAACCUCUGAAAGACAAACAUGCAACUGACCAACACAUGUUGAAGAAAAAAUAGGAAGAAUAAAUAAAGGAUACCGGAAAUUUUUUUU